UGGUAAAUACACAGGUGACAGAAGGAGCCUUUUUUAGGAGUCUGCAUUGACCGGAGUCAGUGGGCAAGGGUGCAGCAAAGCACUAGAAGUCUCCCGAGUGCUAUGGUUUGGUGUAAGAGACAAUUGAGUGCAUGCUUUUUUCCUGUAAUGACUUUGAAAAUUACAAAUGUGCAUUGAAAAAUGAUAUCUGGGUCAGACUUGGGCCACACCUGCAACAUCACCGUUGUUUGGAAGCCACUGACUUAAAGGAAAAGGGACUCCUGAUUGCUGUUUGUGAGCUGCUGGAACAUGGUUCCCCUGCUUUAACUGCCAGUUUUCUCACAUCCAACCAGGGAUGACCAUUCCCUGGGGUUAAUGAGAUCUGUCUGCCUGCAUCAAAGUCACAAUAUUGAUCUGCUUUCUGCUUUUUCGCAAGCUUAGCCCAAAAGAUUCCUUCUCAUCCUUUGCCCUACAGUUUUGAAGGUCCAUGCCCAAUCCCCAAACCUGGGGAUUCUUGUUAUUCUGCUUGUCCCCAGGUCUAAAUCAUGUCUUCCAGCCUAAUAUUUACCAAAGAGAACAAAGCUGGUGUGUUAUUACCAUCUGACUUUUGAACCUCUUUCUCAAUUCAUGGAUUCCUAAUUUAGUGAGAGAUAAAAGAGGCUUCCUCAAACCCCAAGACGGAUUGGAAGGAGAGAGAGAAAAAAGAGAAAAGCAGACCAGUAAGAAGGUGUGGACAGAAGCUGGAGAUGGGAAGUAAUAAAUAAAUAAAACACAAACCAUCGGGAAGAAAAGGAAGAAUUGAAGACAGAGAUUUUUGACUGAGUGGAAUGUGGGAGAGAUAAGGAGGAGCCUGAGAGCCAGGCUGUCCUAGGCUUCUAUCCCAAAAGUGUAAAGAGUAAGACCCUGGGCAAGUUACUUACCUUCCUCUUCUUCCUUGACCAACUCUGAAAUGAGAGCAAGUUGAAUAGAAUCCAGAUUAUAGCCUUGUCUUGAGAAACCAGUGAGUAAAUCUAUGGCACAUGUUCAGCACAGUCUCUGACAUAUUAAGUCCUCGAUAAACAGUUUUGACAAUUAUAGUUUUGCAUACAGAAGUUACAGCUGAUUUGGGUUCAACAUGUAUGGAGAUAAUUUGGACUUCUUAAAAUUAAAAGGCUAUGGCCUGACUUCAACUUGUCUCCUUAUUUUUUGCCUCUUGUCCCUAAAAUCAAAUUCCUGUUGAUAAAGAGAUUUGGUGACUUAAUCGGGGGAUGAACAGAUCUAAUAUAUUUCUUCAUAUCUUUCUACCUCCUGUCCUGUCUAUGGUUCAAAUUCUAUUUGUCCUUAGAACUUUAAUAAACUUCUUCUUAUUUUCAUUCUCA
Molecule: long non-coding RNA, 1337 nt
Organism: Mustela lutreola (European mink)
Lineage: Eukaryota; Metazoa; Chordata; Mammalia; Carnivora; Mustelidae
Exons: 2
Source: RefSeq, a predicted model, not a curated record